Molecule: long non-coding RNA, 358 nt
Organism: Xiphophorus maculatus (southern platyfish)
Lineage: Eukaryota; Metazoa; Chordata; Actinopteri; Cyprinodontiformes; Poeciliidae
Exons: 3
Source: RefSeq, a predicted model, not a curated record
UUCAGACGGCUCCAUUUCUCUAGAGACGUUGCAGAGGCAGCAUGUUAUGAAAGGAAGAUUAUUGGACCAAAGCAGAGCAACACAUGGUUCCAGGUUGAGGUCAGGAUGGGGAACACCUCACCCAGGGUUCUGGUCUCACUCUUGCUGAACACACUGCUCUGCUGUGGACAAACUCUUGACAGACCCAUGGCCACAUUGACAGCAGGUUCAACAACCAUACCAGUAGGGGGCAGUGUGAUACUGAGCUGCUCAGUGGAGCCCUCUGCUGGAUGGAAGUACAGAUGGUUCAGACGGACCUCAGUCACUUCUUUUGUUGAAUUCAACACAAAUAAUGAAGAAACAGAGAAAUCCUGUGACA